Molecule: ribosomal RNA, 424 nt
Filed under: uncultured prokaryote
Description: bacterial SSU rRNA
Rfam family: Bacterial small subunit ribosomal RNA
Source: RNAcentral
UAGGGAAUCUUAGACAAUGGGGGCAACCCUGAUCUAGCCAUGCCGCGUGUGUGACGAAGGCCUUAGGGUCGUAAAGCACUUUCGCCAGGGAUGAUAAUGACAGUACCUGGUAAAGAAACCCCGGCUAACUCCGUGCCAGCAGCCGCGGUAAUACGGAGGGGGUUAGCGUUGUUCGGAAUUACUGGGCGUAAAGCGCGCGUAGGCGGACUGUUAAGUCGGGGGUGAAAUCCCGGGGCUCAACCCCGGAACUGCCCUCGAUACUGGCAGUCUAGAGUUCGAGAGAGGUGAGUGGAAUUCCGAGUGUAGAGGUGAAAUUCGUAGAUAUUCGGAGGAACACCAGUGGCGAAGGCGGCUCACUGGCUCGAUACUGACGCUGAGGUGCGAAAGUGUGGGGAGCAAACAGGAUUAGAUACCCCCGUAGUCC